This is a long non-coding RNA of Apodemus sylvaticus (European woodmouse), 583 nucleotides long. RefSeq lists it as uncharacterized. The transcript has 3 exons. The record is from RefSeq and is a predicted model, not a curated record. NCBI's taxonomy places the organism in Eukaryota, Metazoa, Chordata, Mammalia, Rodentia, Muridae.
GCAGCACCCUCUGUGGCCUUCCGGUUCCUGUCCUGAGUGCCUGCCCUGACUUCCUUCAGUAAUUAGCAACGAUGCAGAAGCACAAGCCAAGAAGUCUGGAUAAGGACAUGGAAGAAGGAAGGAAGCCUCUCCCUUUGCCUGCUUGUUCCUGCUGGGAAGUCCAUUCCUUCACUGCAUUAGAGCUUACUUCUUUGGGAUUCUGGCAUAUACUGAAGACCAUGAGGCUGGAUGGUUGGACAUUGCAUUGGUAGACAGUCAUUGUUGGACUAGCUGGACCACAGCCUGUAAAACAGUGGCUGAUUUGGUGGGCUUUAUUGAGAACCUUAGGUAGGCAUGCGCAUGCGGCUGAGGUUUAGUUCACAGCAGCGGCACCACCUUCAGUUUCCAGCUGAGCUUCUUUCUGCUUCUGGCCAGCCCCAUGGAGCAUCUGUGAGCCUUUGAUCUGCCUGCUCCCUUCCUCCUCACCCUCUGCCAUGCUGUGACUCAGAUCAUCUCCUCCUGCUCUGCACACCUGGCUACAGCUGUCUCCUCAAGCAAGUGGCUUAUGAACAAAUUUGUCUAAACAAGGACUUUUUCUUUGUGG